AUUGAACGCUGGCGGCAGGCCUAACACAUGCAAGUCGAACGAGUGGCGGACGGGUGAGUAAUGUCUGGGAAACUGCCUGAUGGAGGGGGAUAACUACUGGAAACGGUAGCUAAUACCGCAUACCAUCAGCUCUGCCCAGAUGGGAUUAGCUCGGGGGUGGGGUAACGGCUCACCAAGGCGACGAUCCCUCGCUGGUCUUAGAGGAUGACCAGCAAAACUGGAACUGAGACACGGGCCAGACUCCUACGGUAGGCAGAAGUGGGGAAUAUUGCACAAUGGGCGCAAGCCUGAUGCAGCCAUGCCGCGUGUAUGAAGAAGGCCUUCGGGUUGUAAAGUACUUUCAGCGGGGAGGCGUUACCCGCAGAAGAAGCACCGGCUAACUCCGUGCCAGCAGCCGCGGUAAUUC
Molecule: ribosomal RNA, 406 nt
Filed under: uncultured bacterium
Lineage: Bacteria
Description: partial 16S ribosomal RNA
Rfam family: Bacterial small subunit ribosomal RNA
Source: RNAcentral